Molecule: ribosomal RNA, 534 nt
Filed under: Pseudoparlatoria parlatorioides
Lineage: Eukaryota; Metazoa; Arthropoda; Insecta; Hemiptera; Diaspididae
Description: eukaryotic LSU rRNA
Source: RNAcentral
AUCUGGGCGGCGAAAUUCAGGAUGGCUGGGCCGGCCUCGCGCUGGUCCGGCCGUUUGAUGUUUUCGUCGCCACUCGCAGACGUCGCGACCUGUUCGUCGUCGGUCCCUGCUCGGAGGAGUCGCUGUCGAGUUCGUUGUGGGCGCGUUUCGGCGCGUUUCACGGCGAAGACGCGGAUCUCUGGCUGACGACGGACAGUAAGCAACGGUGGCCGGCGUCGUGUCUCGCACGCGACGUCGGUGCCGGUCAGCGACGAUUUCUUCGGGCCUCUUUCCGACCCGUCUUGAAACACGGACCAAGGAGUCUAACAUGCGCGCGAGUCGCGGGGUAUCGAGCGUACCACGGUGCGCUCGUUACGUCACGAAACCCGUAAUGUUGAAGGCGUAAUGAAAGUGAAUGGGGAAGAUGGCGUUCCGAGUACACGUUCCGUGGUCUAGUAUCGCGGCCGGACGCCCGCAUUCCCGGGGCGUCUCAACGGCUCGUCGCGAAUGCGGACGGUCGCCUUUCGGGGUGGCCGUCGGUUUGCGACGGACCGA